UACGUAGGGGGCAAGCGUUGUCCGGAUUUCUUGGGCGUACAGAGCGUGUAGGCGGCUUUACAGGUCCGUUGUGAAAACUCGAGGCUCAACCUCGAGACGCCGGUGGAAACCGUAAGGCUAGAGUCCGGAAGAGGAGAGUGGAAUUCCUGGUGUAGCGGUGAAAUGCGCAGAUAUCAGGAGGAACACCCGUGGCGAAAGCGGCUCUCUGGGACGGUACUGACGCUGAGACGCGAAAGCGUGGGGAGCAAACAGG
This 253-nucleotide ribosomal RNA is filed under the name uncultured bacterium. RNAcentral describes it as "partial 16S ribosomal RNA". It matches the Rfam family "Bacterial small subunit ribosomal RNA", at positions 524 to 776 of the family's 1533-position model. The record is from RNAcentral.